GGGCCCUUAGCUUAGCUGGUAGAGCGCAUCAUUUGCAAUGAUGAGGUCAGGAGUUCGAAUCUCCUAGGGUCCA
Molecule: transfer RNA, 73 nt
Filed under: Candidatus Moraniibacteriota bacterium
Lineage: Bacteria; Candidatus Moraniibacteriota
Description: Candidatus Moranbacteria bacterium tRNA-Ala
Rfam family: tRNA
About the family: Transfer RNA (tRNA) molecules are approximately 80 nucleotides in length.
Source: RNAcentral